RNAcentral lists this ribosomal RNA (496 nucleotides) under uncultured bacterium. Its description in RNAcentral is "partial 16S ribosomal RNA". It matches the Rfam family "Bacterial small subunit ribosomal RNA", at positions 28 to 506 of the family's 1533-position model. The record is from RNAcentral.
GAUGAACGCUGGCGGCGUGCCUAAUACAUGCAAGUCGAGCGAACAGAUGAGGAGCUUGCUCCUCUGACGUUAGCGGCGGACGGGUGAGUAACACGUGGAUAACCUACCUAUAAGACUGGGAUAACUUCGGGAAACCGGAGCUAAUACCGGAUAAUAUAUUGAACCGCAUGGUCCAAUAGUGAAAGACGGUUUUGCUGUCACUUAUAGAUGGAUCCGCGCCGCAUUAGCUAGUUGGUAAGGUAACGGCUUACCAAGGCAACGAUGCGUAGCCGACCUGAGAGGGUGAUCGGCCACACUGGAACUGAGACACGGUCCAGACUCCUACGGGAGGCAGCAGUCGGGAAUCUUCCGCAAUGGGCGAAAGCCCGACGGAGCAACGCCGCGUGAGUGAUGAAAGUCUUCGGAUCGUAAAACUCUGUUAUUAGGGAAGAACAAAUGUGUAAGUAACUAUGCACGUCUUGACGGUACCUAAUCAGAAAGCCACGGCUAACUACGU